CGUGACCUGUGUUGGACUUAAUGUGACAACAAGCGUCAAGGAUUCAAGAACAGACUGCACACCACAGCCUGAUAAAAAUUAUACUGAUUGGUAAACAAAAAGGAUGGAAGACACUGAAUAUCUUUAAAAAUGAAGGUGCUGAAGAGGCCAACCCUGCACAACAAGAACAU
Triplophysa rosa is the source of this 170-nucleotide long non-coding RNA. RefSeq lists it as uncharacterized. The transcript is spliced from 5 exons. NCBI's taxonomy places the organism in Eukaryota, Metazoa, Chordata, Actinopteri, Cypriniformes, Nemacheilidae. The record is from RefSeq and is a predicted model, not a curated record.